Molecule: long non-coding RNA, 394 nt
Organism: Hippopotamus amphibius kiboko
Lineage: Eukaryota; Metazoa; Chordata; Mammalia; Artiodactyla; Hippopotamidae
Exons: 3
Source: RefSeq, a predicted model, not a curated record
GUGAAUUUCAGAUAAGAGAAGACUUUGGAUUCCAGCCCGAAAGUGAUACUUGGGAGUCAUUCCAGUGGGACAGCGUCUCCCGUGAUAAUGGCAAACGUUUGUCUGGUGCCGGCUCUGGCUGUGAAGGAACUGACCCCGGAGGAGCUCCUGCGGAUGGGGGAACAGCACUAGUGGGAGGCAGAGCAGAGGGAUCCGAUGGUGAACGCUGGUCAAAGGUCACACAUGUCACCACUCAAGGGUUCCUGCUAUGUGGAUUUUGGUGCACUUGUGAGUUUUGAUGUGGCAGAACUCAACUGAAAUUAGUGUCUGAACUCUUCAAGACCCCACUAGGGGCUGUCUGCACUCAGACUACAUGCCAGCCAGCUACUGCAAGGGUUCCAGAAGAGACCCCCAA